Molecule: RNA transcript, 1355 nt
Organism: Macrobrachium nipponense
Lineage: Eukaryota; Metazoa; Arthropoda; Malacostraca; Decapoda; Palaemonidae
Gene name: group XIIB secretory phospholipase A2-like protein
Exons: 6
Source: RefSeq, a predicted model, not a curated record
UAAGCCGCGGCACAGCGCCGAGGACGCCAGCUGCCUGCUGCUGCCGCCUACCAGCACGAGUGCCAGCUACCUACUCGCACAGUGUAUCGUUCACAGUGGUGUAUUAAACACCCAGCCUGCAUCGCUAAGACCCCUUUAACAGUGUAAUACAAUUUGUGUUCGUAGUGAUGUGAUCGAUGCCUAGAGUACGUUCAAUCGAUUGUUCCUUUCAUAUUUCACCCAUGUGAGUAACCUGAGGGAGAGAGAGAGAGACCGAGCGGAAUUGACCGGUGUCAACAGUUGUGUGCUGCUUCGAAUACCUCCGCCGAGCGGUUUGGACGCCCACGAACUCCUCCUUCACAAUGGAGUCCAUGCCGCUCUUGUAUCUGUGCCUCUUCCUAGCCCUGACGUCUGGCGUCCAGGGCAACAACGUCGACCUUUUCUGGAAUCUAUACGACGCCGUUAUCUCCGGGGGCCGCAUAUUACAUGACGUCGCCGAAGGAGUUGGCGCUGUGUCGAAAGCCAUCCGGGCCAUCGAUAUGUUCCUCGAGUCUACGUCAGAGCUGGGUGGAUGGAUUGGCUGGAAGAUGAAAAAGUUAGCAGGUGAUGGAGAACCAAAAGAAGGGGCGGCGCCUGACGACAAGACGGCGGAGGAAAUGGAGCCCGUCUCCAUUCCCGAACCGGACCCGAUCUUGGACGCAGCGACGCCAAGUUUCAGCGGCUGCGGGGCACUGGGAUUCCACAUCAGGGACGAGUCGCUGCCCAUCACCCGCCUGACGGAGUGCUGCAGCACCCACGACGCCUGUUACGGCUCCGCCUGUAGGGCCAACAAGCGAGACUGUGAUAGUAAGCUUAAGAAUUGCCUGUUUGCCGUCUGCGACGACAAGACCAUCGACAAAUCCAAGUACAAGACUUGCAAAGGAGCCGCGAAGCUGCUCUUUUCCGGGACGAUGGCGCUCUCGUUCCAGCAAUACAACACCGCUCAGGAGAAGCUCUCGUGCAGAGAUCGGGGGAUAUGGUGAGUGGAAAUGGCAAAAUUGCUUCGCCAAAUGCAAUGCAACGAGACGCAAAAUAAUGCAUUUCAAUGGUGGUCGAUUUAUCUCUUGGUUGUAGAUUGUCCAUUGCUUCAAAAGAUCCCAGCCAAAGCCGAAACAAAAGGACAAGAGGAGAGGAAGGUGAAGUGGCCACCUGAACCCGUAUCAUACCUGAAGGAGUGUCGCUAUAUUCGAAGGUGCUACGUUGCUGUGGGAUGUACCGUCUUACUGAAGUGUUGUUUCCUGUGAAGUGCCCUUUUAUCUUAGUACGGGAAUUUGAAUAAUCAAUAUGUAUAUAUAUAUAUAUAUAUAUAUAUAUAUAUAUAUAUAUAUAUAUAUAUA